Caenorhabditis elegans is the source of this 142-nucleotide non-coding RNA. The record is from Ensembl. Lineage: Eukaryota; Metazoa; Nematoda; Chromadorea; Rhabditida; Rhabditidae.
AGUCGAAAAACAAGCCGGCCGGGGCCCGGAUACUAGGAGAACGAGUCAUAGGAUAAUGUGGUUCCCUUUGCUAUCUAUUGCGUUCCACACGGCACGAGAGGGAGGUUACAAAUGGGAUUUUUGAUCUGAUCCUUCUGGACUG